Mobula hypostoma (lesser devil ray) is the source of this 1840-nucleotide long non-coding RNA. RefSeq lists it as uncharacterized. The record is from RefSeq and is a predicted model, not a curated record. Lineage: Eukaryota; Metazoa; Chordata; Chondrichthyes; Myliobatiformes; Myliobatidae. The transcript has 2 exons.
UUUUCCUACCAAAGUGCAUAACCUCACUUCCCUUAUCAUGUUUAUUUUGCUGUCUUUUUGUCUCCACUUACCCAAUGAAUUCUGUCUCUCUGGGUCCUCUAAACGUACUCUCCUAUCUAUUCCUGUACUGUCAGCAAACUGUCGAGAGUUAUUAAUGUACAUGUAUUGUAUAUAAAAAAGUUAGGACUCUAAUCUUGCCGAAAUACUCAGUUUUUAAUAUAAUUUUAAAAAUGUCAUACUGGCUGCAAUACAUUCAUGAAGCUUUGAUUCCAAGUGGAAUACUGUCACAUUUUUACCAUGUUGGGAUUAGUACAAUGGCGCUACCUUUGUCAUUUUUUUCUCAAAAAAGUUUUUUUCUUGUUUGAUUAACAUUUAAAGUGUCCCUUACCGUUGACAAAACUUUUAUUUAUUUCCCUUUGGCAACAUGAUAGUAAAUGCAAAAUUGAAACGCUCAAGGACUCUAACAGUAAUUAUAAUUAAAUCCUACCAUCCCCUGUAUCCAUCUGAAGAUGUUACAGGAGGGUAGUAAUCCUUGUGGAGGCAUCAUCUUUCAUUAAAUGCUUGCUCCUUGUCACAUCACGGGCAAUCAAUGUUGGCUGCAAAAGCAUAAACUACUAUUUCAUUUUAAAAGCGUUGUAAAACGAAAGACGCUGUGUGCAUAAAGAUUACAGUUAACACGCAAUUCUUUUAAUAGUGAAGGAGUUAUCAGAAAGCGCACUUGUACCCUAAGGGGCAUUCUACUGAGCUAUCGAAAAGCAAGUUAAAUUAAAGCUCAGUGGGAAAGGCAGGAGCAGGGCAGAGGUGAUUGAUAGUGUAGAUAUUAUUUAGUAAUCCGAACACGUUUUAAUCUGGUUGUAGGGCACAGCUGCUUGCAGAACUGUGAAAUGCAAGGUCGCAUAUGUUGAGCUCAAUCGAUGAAGUCAGAACAGAGGUGCACCAUCUAUCCAAAACGGCCAUCCCCUAAAGACUAACACAAGCUACACACAGCUGUAUCUACCUACUGCUAUUCCACCUCCCAAAUCCCCCGCCAACGUGACUAGUUCUCCCAUCACUGCCAUCUCCUCAAAAUCGUGGUGACGAACCAAGAGGCGUGUUAGCCUCCAUGAAGGUUACACCUCUGUACCGUCUCGUCUGCUGUGGUUAAACAUUCACAGUGGAACACUCUUGAAGGUCGAGAUCAGGACAGGCGCGUUCUCCCAUUUCACUCGGCAACACACGAGCUUAUUUCAAGGUUGACGAGAAUUCUGGAAUUUGUUUUACAACCUCUAAAAAUAAAAUCAUUCAACUUCAAGACAGAAAUUCAAAUGAGACAAUAAUAGAAUCCAUUAGUCACGGUAGAAGGCGAUCGUAACUGAUGACCAACAAUGCUGCAGGAAACAAAACCCACAGGGGGGAAAAACACGAUAAAUACAAUUCCCCAGACUGACCGAAAAAGGUCACCCCGGCCAUUCCAGAGAGGUCUUUUUUAUUAUUAUUUACUUCGCCCACCAGCAAAUAAAAGCAUUCUGCAGCACAGAUAGCAGCCUUCAAAAUCAUGGCAACGUAGUGUUUAUUUUUGUGAGGACGACGACCGAGAACGCCAUGACCUGUUCAGCACACAUUUCCCUGCGCAGGGUCUUGAUUAAACAGACACAUCAGGCGCACAGGGACAACAUUCGAAUACCAACAUCUGAACAUGACAAAAUUGAGAAAAGUGGGAAACUCAACGCAACACGGAGAAAUUCUGAUGAACGAUCGACCCGAAAUUGCACAUUGCACAUUUAGCCGGAGACGUAACGUAAAGAUUUUUACUCCUCAUGUAUGUGAAGGAUGUAAGAAAUAAAGUCAAUUCAAACGUCAA